This 292-nucleotide unclassified non-coding RNA is filed under the name uncultured fungus. RNAcentral's name for it is "sequence contains ITS1". The stretch from base 1 to 105 matches the Rfam family "5.8S ribosomal RNA", at positions 50 to 154 of the family's 154-position model. Lineage: Eukaryota; Fungi. The record is from RNAcentral.
GAAAUGCGAUAAGUAAUGUGAAUUGCAGAAUUCAGUGAAUCAUCGAAUCUUUGAACGCACAUUGCGCCCUGUGGCAUUCCGCGGGGCAUGCCUGUUCGAGCGUCAUUACAACCCAUCCCGUCCGCGGGGUCUUGGGCGCCGCCGCUAGGCGGGCCUCAAAAUCAGUGGCGGUCUGGCCAGGCUCUAAGCGUAGUAAAUCUCCUCGCUAUAGGGUUCUGGGCGGCACCUGCCAGCAACCCCUCAUCUUGCACAGGUUGACCUCGGAUCAGGUAGGGAUACCCGCUGAACUUAA